CCUACGGGAGGCAGCAGUGGGGAAUAUUGGACAAUGGGGGCAACCCUGAUCCAGCCAUGCCGCGUGUGUGAAGAAGGCCCUCGGGUUGUAAAGCACUUUCAGUGAGGAAGAACGCCUGGUGGUUAAUACCCAUCAGGAAAGACAUCACUCACAGAAGAAGCACCGGCUAACUCCGUGCCAGCAGCCGCGGUAAUACGGAGGGUGCGGGCGUUAAUCGGGAAUUACUGGGCGUAAAGCGCGCGUAGGUGGCUUGAUAAGCCGGUUGUGAAAGCCCCGGGCUCAACCUGGGAACGGCAUCCGGAACUGUCAAGCUAGAGUGCAGGAGAGGAAGGUAGAAUUCCCGGUGUAGCGGUGAAAUGCGUAGAGAUCGGGAGGAAUACCAGUGGCGAAGGCGGCCUUCUGGACUGACACUGACGCUGAGGUGCGAAAGCGUGGGUAGCAAACAGGAUUAGAUACCCUAGUAGUC
Molecule: ribosomal RNA, 466 nt
Filed under: Vreelandella stevensii
Lineage: Bacteria; Pseudomonadati; Pseudomonadota; Gammaproteobacteria; Oceanospirillales; Halomonadaceae
Description: partial 16S ribosomal RNA
Rfam family: Bacterial small subunit ribosomal RNA
Source: RNAcentral